This 253-nucleotide ribosomal RNA is filed under the name uncultured bacterium. RNAcentral's name for it is "partial 16S ribosomal RNA". It matches the Rfam family "Bacterial small subunit ribosomal RNA", at positions 524 to 776 of the family's 1533-position model. The record is from RNAcentral.
GACGGAGGAUGCAAGUGUUAUCCGGAAUCACUGGGCGUAAAGCGUCUGUAGGUGGUUUAAUAAGUCAACUGUUAAAUCUUGAGGCUCAACCUCAAAAUCGCAGUCGAAACUAUUAGACUAGAGUAUAGUAGGGGUAAAGGGAAUUUCCAGUGGAGCGGUGAAAUGCGUAGAGAUUGGAAAGAACACCGAUGGCGAAGGCACUUUACUGGGCUAUUACUAACACUCAGAGACGAGAGCUAGGGUAGCAAAUGGG